RNAcentral lists this unclassified non-coding RNA (693 nucleotides) under uncultured bacterium. RNAcentral describes it as "partial contains 16S ribosomal RNA, 16S-23S ribosomal RNA intergenic spacer, and 23S ribosomal RNA". The stretch from base 1 to 155 matches the Rfam family "Bacterial small subunit ribosomal RNA", at positions 1382 to 1533 of the family's 1533-position model. The record is from RNAcentral.
UGUACACACCGCCCGUCACGUCACGAAAGUCGGUAACGCCCGAAGCCGGUGGCCCAACCCCUUGUGGGAGGGAGCCGUCGAAGGCGGGAUCGGCGAUUGGGACGAAGUCGUAACAAGGUAGCCGUACCGGAAGGUGCGGCUGGAUCACCUCCUUUCUAAGGAGCACUGGCCGCCGUCUUCGUGAUGGUGGUCCAGAGCCGUGCGCGGAUCGGGAAGACUCGCCAGUCUCGGUGGGUCUCGGAUGUUCGCGACGGAGCUCGAGGGUGGAACGCUGACCAAUUCGGCCGGUGACCUGGUGUCGCUGCUAGUACGGCCUCUCGGGGUCUGGAACGUGGUGGGAGUGGGUUGGCGGUUGUAGGCACGCUGUUGGGUCCUGAGGGAGCGGGCCGGCCCCGGUGAGGGGUUGGGUUGUUGUCUCUGGAGGGCUUCAUGCUCGUCGUACCGCUCGGUCUGGUUCUUCGGAGCCGGAGCGGGGUCUGGCGGUGGGGGAUGUGGGGCGACUCUCCGUACUUUGAGAACUGCACAGUGGACGCGAGCAUCUAUAUUUUUUUGUAGGCAUGUAACUGGAUAUUCGCGCUGAUCCACCAACUGUUUGGGUCUGGUUCCCGUUUCGCGGGGGUUGGGCCCUUGUUUGUUGCUGGGUGGGCGUGGGUGUUUGUGUGGCCAAGUUGUUAAGGGCGCACGGUGGAUGCC